CCGUGCUAGACGGGGAGGUAGCGGUGCCCUGUAACUCGCAAUCCGCUAUAGCGAGGUUGAAUUCCUGUCGUAGGUUCUGUUUGAUGCGGGGUCUGGCAUCUGUGAACAGUGCUGACGGUCGGGUCCUCCGCAAUUGGCUCUUGUGAACCCGGUCAGGUCCGGAAGGGAGCAGCCGUAAGCAAGUUCGUCGAUGUGCCGGGGGAGCGCCUGACCUGAGCUGGAAUCAGAAAAGCCGCCUGGGUCGCAUGAAUCGAGGAGAGGUGCACGG
This 268-nucleotide signal recognition particle RNA is filed under the name Paenibacillus sabuli. RNAcentral describes it as "Bacterial large signal recognition particle RNA". It matches the Rfam family "Bacterial large signal recognition particle RNA". From Rfam's summary of the family: The signal recognition particle (SRP) is a universally conserved ribonucleoprotein involved in the co-translational targeting of proteins to membranes. Archaeal SRP consists of a 7S RNA and homologues of the eukaryotic SRP19 and SRP54 proteins. Lineage: Bacteria; Bacillati; Bacillota; Bacilli; Caryophanales; Paenibacillaceae. The record is from Rfam by way of RNAcentral.